AUACUUACCUGGCAAGGAAGAUAGCAUGAUCACGAAGGUGGUUUUUCAGGGCAAGGCCUAUUCAUUGCACUCUAGAUGUGCUGAUCUCUGUAAUUUCCCCAAAUGUGAGAAACUUGACCGCAUAAUUUGUGGUAGUUGGGGGACUGUGUUCACUCUCUCCAG
Molecule: small nuclear RNA, 162 nt
Organism: Suncus etruscus (white-toothed pygmy shrew)
Lineage: Eukaryota; Metazoa; Chordata; Mammalia; Eulipotyphla; Soricidae
Product: U1 spliceosomal RNA
Exons: 1
Source: RefSeq, a predicted model, not a curated record